Molecule: non-coding RNA, 105 nt
Filed under: marine eukaryotic metagenome
Description: Glycine riboswitch
Rfam family: Glycine riboswitch aptamer
About the family: This family represents the bacterial glycine riboswitch.
Source: RNAcentral
AAACUCUGGAAAGUGGGCACAUAGCAUAUGAGCCCCACCGAAGGUGAAAACUACUCUAUCUAACGUGAUGGAGGGUGAAUCUCUCAGGUUUUUCGACAGAGGGGG